UCUUUCUAAUUCUAUUCUCAUAAGAUGAUCUUGGAUUUGUUCCUUUAGCACAGACUCUUUAGUGCAGUCCUGAUUUCUGUAUUAAUGAAUUGAGAAGAUGACAUCAGGCUCUUAGGUGGAAAUUCAACACAAAAGUGACGGAUGAUUUGCUGAGGAAGACAGACCUACUCUCAAUGUGCUUGGCCAACACGGUAGAAGAGAUCUCUGUUGGAAUGACAUGGGGUGACAGCAGCAGACAUUGAAAUUGGAAUUCUUGCUGCACCAAGCAAUGACGAAGGGAUCUGUGAGACAGUGCAGCACCCCCCAUAUAUGAACAACAGAGGAACUUUAUACAGAUAUACGUAGUUUUCUUCCUUAUUCUGUAUUGUAUGCCUUGUCAAUAGAGAAGUUAACUAGUUAAUUCUGAAUGAGGGAAAGCCUACAGAAAACCAGAAGACCCUCUACGUCAGCUCCUAGAGGCAUAAACAUUAUUUAUAGCACUUCAUUCUUAUUUAACUGAGGGAAGUAAGUGCUAAUAAAUGCUCAAAAUAAAGAGAUUAGAAAUGUGAUUUAGCACAGUCAGGGAUGAUGGUUAUUCAUCAGAAAUACCUAUUCAUUUUUUCCUAUUUAUUUUUCUUCAUUUUUCAUUGACAUAGUUGCCUAAGAGACUAUUUUGAUAUUGAUAGUUCAGGGAGGAGCAAAUGCAUGGACUAAAGACUUUCUGCUAUUUGAAUUUGCUAGAGAUUUUAUUAAAUAGCACCGUAGCUCAGGACAAGCUGAUUGCAUUUCACAGCCUAUUUCCCCAUACUCCCUAAAUGCUGAUUUACCAAGAAUGAAAUGCAUGUACACAUACUCUGGAGCAUGUGUUAAAGCUGUGCUAAACAUUUUCCAUGUAACUUCCAGCUGGCAACAUUUUGCCAGAAAGCCUGGUACUUAGAAAUGAUAAAUAAAUAAAACAAACAGAAACUUGUGUUGUAAUAAGGACACAAUGGAACAGCUGCAGGGCAUGGAGUAAAUUCAGCUUGACUUGAUGUGGACACAGUGGCUGGAUUUUACCCAAGAGAUAUUAGCAACAUUGAGAUUCCUAAGGGGAGGACUGUGGAGAGGGAAGAAGGGUUCUCAUUGGGAGGUCUCUUAGCACAUUUGGAAAAAUAAACACAGAAACGAUGAAAAAUAAUAUUUAAGCAGCAAAAUCAGCAUACACUGUCCUCCUGCAGUAUGUUGAAAAAACAUGAACUUGUCUCGGGAAGAAAAAAUAAUGAACAGAGCUUUGUUUUGGUUUGUUUUGUUUGGAGGGAGAAUGGGAAGAAGAUGGAGGGGGGCUGGAGCCUGGGAAGGCAAACUGUAUGACAACAACAGCCACCAAGUGAAGGAAAGAGAAACAGUGACGGAGGCGAAGCAAGAAUUUCCGACAUAACCACCACUCUGACUUUGGCUUGACUGGGUUGUCAUGAUCAAAUGACUUCGCUUGCCUGUUACAGGCAGGAAACGAACACGGUAAAUUCUAAAGAGACAGCAGUAUUUUAUGGAACACUUGUGAAAUAUUAAGGGCAUCCGCAACAAAAUUCUUGUAGGAAAAUUGUUCAGGAGAGACACAUGGAACAGUGAUAACACCGUCAUGGAACACAUCUUUUAGAGAUGUUUUCACAUGUAAACAGGCAAAGGAAACUGUAGAGUCUCAGUGCUUCAGCUCUGACCUCUGCCAAUGGACCACUACACCUGUGUCUCCUCUACAUACCCUUGCAGUCUAUGAGGCCAGUUCCAUUCACUUCAUACAACCUCUUUGAGGGGUAGCUAGACCAUCGUCAGUGUAGCUGUUUGCCUGCUUAGCUGAGUCUACAAUCAGAACCGGUGAGUUUUCUAGACUUCUGCAGCUGGAGGACGCAGCUCACCCUCCUCCCAGGUGCUCUGCAUUUUAGAGAAGGCGGCAUACUUGCUUAACUGUUUAUUCCCCUUCCAUCAGAUGAUGAGCUGGAGAUACGGUGACACUGAAGUCACGUCUGCAAAGUCUGCAAAGUGUUUGGAGAUCUUUAGGAGCAAGGUUGAAGAAAACCAAGAAAUAUUAUUAAAUUAUGUUUACUUUCCCAGAAUUUAUGAAACGUUUUUUGAUUUUUUGAUCUGCUGGUGAAGAUUUAAUUGUGUUGUCAGUGAUCCCACGCACCUUUUUGUGGGGAGACAUGCAGUUCAGGAAAAAGCAAAAAGAGAAAAUCACUGGAGCUGCAACAUAACUGCAGCAGCAUCUGCACUAACAUAGACCAUCAUGCACACAUCCCUUGAGCUUAGUCCUCAUUGGGACCAUGGCUCAUAAUUAACAACUAUCAGCUGCUGUGAUUACCAUAUAUUUUGAAUUACAACUGUAUUCAGGCUGAUUUUCAGAUUCCGUGUUAUAAGAUACUUCCUGUGUUGCAAUGACUGUUUGGACAGGCUUUCAGAAACCCAGUGCUGUAUAUCACUAGGUACACUUCCUUAGGUUCCAAGAAGACAGAGAGAAGCACUCAAGCUUCACGAGAUAGAUAGGAAGUGACUUAGCUGGACUGAAUAGGAGUUUUGACACCCUAGAAAACAUAACGAAUCACCUGGAGAGGUGCUGGAGAAUUUGGCUCAAAUUGUUUCUUUGAAGAAAGUAUAAAUAAGGUUUACACAGUGUACCUUCUCUAAACAGUUAGGACGCCUCCUCCCUUCAGGUUCACCAUGCUGUCAGGAGCACAAAGGGGUGUUCUUUUUCACGAAUGGGCAUUAAGCAUAAUCAGGACUCUUGAGAAUGAGUCUGAAGGCUCCAAACGAUGAUGAUACCCUUGCAGAACAUAGGUCUGUAUAUAGAUCCCCGAAGUCUAUAUGUAUAUCCCUGUGUAUAGAUACAUGAAUAUACAACCAGACGCCAUCAGACGUCUGUUCUAUUUUGGUCAAAAAGGGACUUUCCUGCAAAAAAUAUGCAGAAACGUGUAGCUACUCCUCAAAAAACUGCUUCUCUGCUUAAGUCCUACCUUGAAAUUUCUCUUUAUCUGUGGCUGAAUAGAGCACAAGGUUGGUCAUUCAAUGUGGACUAUGAACUCAGUGCUCAAAACCAAGACAAACAAUUGCAGGAAUUGGAUGAAAUAUUUGCCGAAGCAUUUUUGUCAGCCAAACCCAGGUAAUAUACAUUACAGAUUUACACCACAAGGGAAUAACCAUUGUGUACUUCAGAUCACCACAGAAAAAGAAAAAAUGUAAUAAGAAUGUUUCUAUACUAAAGCGAGUUCAUUGCUGUGUGAUUUUCUAACCAAAAUGACAUCCACAAACUUCCAAGACAAGCAUGUCUCCAAAAAUGUCUUUUCUCCUGAAAUCUUUAUGUGCAUCUAGCAUUUCUCUAAAGUCUGGUGCUGAAAGACAAAGAGAACCCAGCUGUCAUUUGAGGGUUCAUCCCCCUCAUCUACAUCCUUUCUCCUCAUGACCUGCAUUGACAGCCUUGGUUAACUUGGCUGAUGCUUCCUUAAUCCAUGGGAAACCUAAACUUGGCCAGCAUUUUGCUCAGUGUGGUUUGUUCCCUUUUCCUUUUCCAUGAAGCCUCAACUUUCCUGGCUGACAUUAAAUAAGUCGUAGGAGCCUGUGUUAGUCCCUCACAAAUCUGCGUGGGAGGGAAGAGAAGGGACAAGAAGGCAGCGGUAAACCAGCCACAAAUGCUGUUGUCCGUGGCUAUAGAUCCACGGAGCAGGUGGCUUAUGCAAUGGAUGCCUUUGUGUUUCCCCAUGCAGAUGAUUUGGUAGCACAGGACCAAACGCUGAGUGCAGACACAUGGCUCCAGAGACAUUUGCUCAAUUUAUGGGGUGAGGGAAAAAAGCAGAAUAUAUAUUUCAGAACAUAUUAGAUAUUUCUGAAAUACUUGAUGGUACAUAUACUGUGUGUUUAGCACAUGCAUUAUGCCUCAAAGUAUUCAUGCAUGGAUAUUUACUUUUAUUAUUUAUAGACCAGUUACCACACCAAGCCCACUUCCAGGCAUCAAGAAUAAACCUGUAUUUCACAGUUAUUUUUAUAACUGGCAGUAAAUCUUGUAGAUGGUGUGAGUACUGUGAAAGUUAUCUGACCUUGAGCAAGAAGAAAACCCCACAGGAAGACUUCUAUCUCAGAAAGCAUCAAGGUGUGCCUGAAAAUGGUUGCUUAUUUGCAGAGAGAGACAGUUUGGAUCUACCCUCAGUUCAUUGUUAAAAUGAAAGAACAUGCACACUUAACCCAAAUAUCUCAAAGCCAAAAGUACUUUCUUUCACAGUGGAUUGAGCAAGGUGUGGGGCCGGCAGUUUUUGGAAAAGGCUUCAUCGCGGUUCUCCAAGAAAUGUACACAUCAGCGUUAAACAGCCACAUCCGACUACAAGACCAACAUCAGGAAGAACACCAGUACUGUAUUCUGCAGCUUGCACCACACCAUACGCUUGCACUGCCCAAAAAGGUUCCACAUAGCUGUCUUUCCCGGUGCCAAUGAUGCUUUAAGGAGCCAGAAGACUCUGUCAGUAAAAAAGAAGCCAGUUAGGAGCACCAGAGACUAACAAAUGUUAAAGUUGGGAGAAACCACCACAAUCAUCUAUGAUAUUCAGCCCACACAAAACAAGGAAUUUUCCCAAGGCUAUCUGUAUGGUGUCAAUGUAUAAUUGCAAAAACCAGAGUGACAUCAAUAUUCUUCAAGUAAUUAGCACCUGGAAUGAUACCUCUCUACAGUAGUCAGAGGCUGUGCCUGAACAGUUAUGUAUAAUAGGCCUUUCUUGGCCCUCUGAAGGCAAAGUGGAUGUCAUGUCCCUGUGCCUGAAUCUUCUUCCUCCCAAAACAGGGUGCCCACAUGGCAUGUGGCAGAUAUUGCUCCUGAAAGACAACUCCCUGAACCUGUGCAUUGUCUGAGGGUGAUGGUGGGCCACAGACUGUGUGAGCAGCCUGGCCAGUAAUGGCAAGCACUCUGACCUAUUCAGCAGCCUUUACAAGCAUGAGUGAGUACAAUGAGAUAGACUAUAUUGUAUUAGACACACAGCAGAACAAAUACUUUUUGACAAACUCUGAAGUUUGGCUUUUUUAUAGGAACAGUCUGAGCAUAAAUGGUAGUUUUGGACAAAUGAUGUCCAGGCUAUAGAUUAUGCAAGGAAAACUCUAAAGCCUGAAUGAAUGUCUUGGUUUCAACUCCCAUCGUGUUAUCUUGGGAUAGUGACUUGUACGGUUCAACAGAAACCUAUGUGUGUGUGUAUAGAUAUAUAUAUAUGUAUAUGUACGGAAUGCUUAUUCGGGUACAGUGUUAAAAUCACUGAUUUCUAGGUAAUAUCUGCUGUGAGGCAAAUUCAUGCUAAUCAUGUAGUAGUCUACUGGCUCUGCCAGUACUGGUCAGAGCUAGGUUAAAAGAAAAUACCAGAUUGGGCAAAAAAGGCAAAUAUUAAAGGAAUUCUCUACUGAUCUCUGCUGUAGUUGGAGUAUACUAAGGCUCUAGAGGGUUACUUUGGCUGCCUGUGGGAAGUUGAGUACAAAGUGCUACACCCUAUCUUGAAAGGGUGGUCUUCUAUUUUUCUAUCAAAAAAGUUCUAGCUUUGAGAAUAUAAGAACACAAAUUUUGCCACGCAUAAGAAUAAAUCGUAAUCCAGGAUUUCUCCUCCAAAAAUAAGUAGACAGGGACUUAUGAAAAAACGUCCAGGAGCAGGGAAUGGACAGAGUGAUAAUGGUUUUGGAACCUUUUCUUUGUCAUGUAACUCAUGGUUGGGGGAUAACCUGAGCAGGAGGCAGUAGGUACAUCAUUAUGGUUAAUGGACCCCAUGGUUCUUCAUGUCAAGAAUCUAUUAGACUUUUGUAUGUGUUUAUUAGAGUUUUUACCUUCACAAUAUCCUGUGGCAAUGAGUUCCUUUAUUUAAUUA
This is a long non-coding RNA of Chroicocephalus ridibundus (black-headed gull), 5834 nucleotides long. RefSeq lists it as uncharacterized. Lineage: Eukaryota; Metazoa; Chordata; Aves; Charadriiformes; Laridae. The record is from RefSeq and is a predicted model, not a curated record. The transcript has 7 exons.